GCUUAACACAUGCAAGUCGAGCGGUAGCACAGGGGAGCUUGCUCCCUGGGUGACGAGCGGCGGACGGGUGAGUAAUGUCUGGGAAACUGCCUGAUGGAGGGGGAUAACUACUGGAAACGGUAGCUAAUACCGCAUAACGUCGCAAGACCAAAGAGGGGGACCUUCGGGCCUCUUGCCAUCAGAUGUGCCCAGAUGGGAUUAGCUAGUAGGUGGGGUAAUGGCUCACCUAGGCGACGAUCCCUAGCUGGUCUGAGAGGAUGACCAGCCACACUGGAACUGAGACACGGUCCAGACUCCUACGGGAGGCAGCAGUGGGGAAUAUUGCACAAUGGGCGCAAGCCUGAUGCAGCCAUGCCGCGUGUGUGAAGAAGGCCUUCGGGUUGUAAAGCACUUUCAGCGAGGAGGAAGGUGGUGAGCUUAAUACGCUCAUCAAUUGACGUUACUCGCAGAAGAAGCACCGGCUAACUCCGUGCCAGCAGCCGCGGUAAUACGGAGGGUGCAAGCGUUAAUCGGAAUUACUGGGCGUAAAGCGCACGCAGGCGGUUUGUUAAGUCAGAUGUGAAAUCCCCGGGCUCAACCUGGGAACUGCAUUUGAAACUGGCAAGCUAGAGUCUCGUAGAGGGGGGUAGAAUUCCAGGUGUAGCGGUGAAAUGCGUAGAGAUCUGGAGGAAUACCGGUGGCGAAGGCGGCCCCCUGGACGAAGACUGACGCUCAGGUG
RNAcentral lists this ribosomal RNA (718 nucleotides) under Serratia marcescens. RNAcentral's name for it is "bacterial SSU rRNA". It matches the Rfam family "Bacterial small subunit ribosomal RNA", at positions 46 to 753 of the family's 1533-position model. Lineage: Bacteria; Pseudomonadati; Pseudomonadota; Gammaproteobacteria; Enterobacterales; Yersiniaceae. The record is from RNAcentral.